AUUGAACGCUGGCGGAAUGCUUUACACAUGCAAGUCGAACGGCAGCACGGGGGCAACCCUGGUGGCGAGUGGCGAACGGGUGAGUAAUACAUCGGAACGUGCCCAGUCGUGGGGGAUAACGUAGCGAAAGUUACGCUAAUACCGCAUACGAUCUACGGAUGAAAGCGGGGGACCGUAAGGCCUCGCGCGAUUGGAGCGGCCGAUGUCAGAUUAGGUAGUUGGUGAGGUAAAGGCUCACCAAGCCGACGAUCUGUAGCUGGUCUGAGAGGACGACCAGCCACACGGGGACUGAGACACGGCCCAGACUCCUACGGGAGGCAGCAGUGGGGAAUUUUGGACAAUGGGCGCAAGCCUGAUCCAGCCAUUCCGCGUGCAGGACGAAGGCCUUCGGGUUGUAAACUGCUUUUGUACGGAACGAAAAGGCUCUGGUUAAUACCUGGGGCUCAUGACGGUACUGUAAGAAUAAGCACCGGCUAACUACGUGCCAGCCGCCGCGGUAA
RNAcentral lists this ribosomal RNA (500 nucleotides) under uncultured bacterium. RNAcentral describes it as "partial 16S ribosomal RNA". It matches the Rfam family "Bacterial small subunit ribosomal RNA", at positions 30 to 523 of the family's 1533-position model. The record is from RNAcentral.